UGCCUAUUUUGGUGUCCAUUUGAGCGAGAAGGCGCCUUUGAUGGUGGAUCAGAAAACUUAUUACGACUUGCAGCAGGCACGGAGAGCUUUUUUGCUGGAGCCGAGGCAGCUAACUGUUCAGCAUGUGGGUUUGAUCUUAUUCCUGAAGCCAUUCCCGGGCGUGAUCUACCAGCAGAUAGUGGUCGCUCAGGUAGCUUUGUCCUUAGGUUUGGUGGCGUUUCAUUUGGGAAAUCAGGGAUAUCAAGUGGCCGCACCGGAGCUCGGGGCCGUGGACUUGGGGAACUUGGACGGGAUGAUGGAGCUGAUGACGGUGCUGAACUUCGGCCACUACUAGCUGCAGGUCGGUUCAUAGAUGUCGUCAAGCUAUUGCUACUAGAAGUGCGUCCAAAAGAAGGCGAACGGCCCAUAGCUGGGGUCGAUGAACGCACUGCAGGCUGACGUGUAGGUGUAGAUGAUCGUGAGCUGGAGCGACUCACUGAAGGAACUGUACCAGAAGACAAUGAGGUGGGAUGACUUGUCCCAUGACCAUUACUUGAGGAAGCGCCUGUCCUGGCAGCAGCUACGUCAGUUGCAGAGUUGGAUGUUGCUUGAUGAGUUUUCACAGGAGUAGACGGGCGAGUUUUGGAUGGUGUAGAUGGACGAGGUUUAACAGGAGUAGAUGACCUUGCUGGAACUGGACGUGAAGCUGGCACCAAUUGUUUUGGCGCAGCAAUGGUGCUGCUUCGCCUACUUGGGGUUGUAGGUCUUGAACUGACAGAUGAAAUACUCGCGUUGAGAACCGCUGUCCUGUUAUUGCUUGACAUGAGAGUUGAUUGGAUAGAAGGGCGGGUUACAGAGUUACUUCUUGCUGGUCUAGCGGGAACUGCAGAAUGUCCAUUCUCUGUUUGA
Molecule: ribosomal RNA, 888 nt
Filed under: Triticum aestivum (bread wheat)
Lineage: Eukaryota; Viridiplantae; Streptophyta; Magnoliopsida; Poales; Poaceae
Description: partial small subunit ribosomal RNA
Source: RNAcentral